UUGAACAUCUUCCUCAACAUCCUGUGUUUAGAAGAGACUGAACAAGAAUGGCAAAACAACCAUAUUCAUAGACAUAAAGAUCUUACUGAAGGAAAAGGAGACUCCAACUUGAGAUCCAGGAGAAGGGAGCAUCCGUGCAGAACUGCAAAUGGCCCAAUACUUGGACAGAACAGCAGAGACUUCCUCCUUUGGUCUGCUUGCAGCUGUUCCCUGCCCUCCGGCGUGUCCACUUCUCCCCACAGUUUUGUGUCAUCCGCAAACUUGGACAGAGUACACUUCACUCCCUCGUCCAAGUCUCUGAUGAAGACAUUAAAGAGUAUCGGUCCAAGGACCAAGCCCUGCGGGACCCCACUGCCCACACCCUUCCAGGUCGAAACUGACCUAUCCACCACGACUGUCUGGGUGCGACCUUCUAGUGAAUUCACCACCCACUGGACUGUGUAGUCAUCCAAGUCACAGCCUCUUAACUUGUUCACCAGUAUGGGGUGGGAUACCAUAUCGAAGGCCUUCCUGAAGUCUAAGUAUAUGACAUCCACCCCUACUCCUGUGUCCAGGCGUUUCGUAACCUGGUCAUAAAAAGAGACUAGAUUAGUCAGGCAUGAUCUGCCUGCCACGAACCCGUGCUGGUUUCCCCUCAGCAUAAUUUGUCCUGCCGGGCUCUCGCAAGUGUGAGCCUUGAUAAUUUUUUCAAAGACAUCUACAAUCAGGUGCAAAGAAGAUAGCGAGAAGAAGGAAAUUUGCAUAUCCUGCCAUUUGAACUACACAAUGCUUCAAGGCAGAGAUACCAACUACACAAUGCUUCAAGACUGAAAUACCAAAUCUGAGAUACCAACUUUACUGGAAUGACCUCAAGUUGAGAUAACUGGAAGAUGGAUAAGAAACUGAGCAUGGAAAAAGCCCAAUGCUGAACAAAGACUUGAAAUCCCUAUAAAAGUGAUAUGCAGACAAGCCAUGAUGGAGAAUCCAGUGUCUGCAACCUCCUGGAGCACAGGCACAUCUGUUCACCUCCCCACCCCAUUUAUCCCAUCACCCUCAAUGAGCCUGGACUGGCUACCCAGAGCUAACAUUGAGUAACUUCUGCUGAUAAAUAUAACAUCUUACUGGAGUGGUUUUGUCUGUACGUCUGCCUAUGUCUGUUUGCAUGUAUGCUUGUCUAUGUCUGUUGGUAUGACUGGUGUGUCCAAGCUUAUGUAUCUGCUUCAUGUAAUCAAUAAACACAGCAUUUUGCCUUA
Long non-coding RNA from Alligator mississippiensis (American alligator), 1232 nucleotides. RefSeq lists it as uncharacterized. The record is from RefSeq and is a predicted model, not a curated record. Lineage: Eukaryota; Metazoa; Chordata; Crocodylia; Alligatoridae. The transcript is spliced from 3 exons.